Molecule: ribosomal RNA, 159 nt
Filed under: Hymenodontopsis vallis-gratiae
Lineage: Eukaryota; Viridiplantae; Streptophyta; Bryopsida; Aulacomniales; Aulacomniaceae
Description: 5.8S ribosomal RNA
Rfam family: 5.8S ribosomal RNA
About the family: 5.8S ribosomal RNA (5.8S rRNA) is a component of the large subunit of the eukaryotic ribosome.
Source: RNAcentral
AAACAACUCUCAGCAACGGAUAUCUUGGCUCUUGCAACGAUGAAGAACGCAGCGAAAUGCGAUACGUAGUGUGAAUUGCAGAAUUNCGNGANUCAUCGAGUUUUUGWACGCAAGUUGCGCCCGAGGCUUGUCCGAGGGCAUUUCCGCUAGAGCGUCAAC